UACGUAGGGUGCAAGCGUUGUCCGGAAUUAUUGGGCGUAAAGAGCUUGUAGGCGGUUUGUCGCGUCUGCUGUGAAAUUUCGGGGCUCAACCCCGAACUUGCAGUGGGUACGGGCAGACUAGAGUGUGGUAGGGGAGACUGGAAUUCCUGGUGUAGCGGUGAAAUGCGCAGAUAUCAGGAGGAACACCGAUGGCGAAGGCAGGUCUCUGGGCCAUAACUGACUCUGAGAAGCGAAAGCAUGGGGAGCGAACAGG
RNAcentral lists this ribosomal RNA (253 nucleotides) under uncultured bacterium. RNAcentral's name for it is "partial 16S ribosomal RNA". It matches the Rfam family "Bacterial small subunit ribosomal RNA", at positions 524 to 776 of the family's 1533-position model. The record is from RNAcentral.